RNAcentral lists this unclassified non-coding RNA (1934 nucleotides) under Hevea brasiliensis (rubber tree). Lineage: Eukaryota; Viridiplantae; Streptophyta; Magnoliopsida; Malpighiales; Euphorbiaceae. The record is from RNAcentral.
GAUCCAACAAAAAUCACACAUUUCAUGCCCUUCAAAAUAUUUAGACCCAACAUGGUUCUAAGUAAAAGAGUUUAUUUUUUAUUUCUUUGCUUAAUUGGGUUUAUCUCCCCACCAGUCCAAGCUGCUGUUAAGCAAUACCAAUUUGAUAUUCAAGUGAAAAAUGUUAGCAGAUUAUGUCAUGCCAAGCCCAUUGUGACAGUAAAUGGGAGGUUUCCAGGGCCAACAAUUUAUGUCAGAGAAGGAGAUAGAGUUCUUGUGAAUGUGACCAACCAUGCCCAAUAUAACAUGUCUAUUCAUUGGCAUGGACUCAAGCAGUUUCGUAAUGGCUGGGCAGAUGGACCUGCUUAUAUAACACAAUGUCCGAUCAAGACAGGCCGAAGUUACACCUAUGAUUUUAAUGUAACAGGCCAAAGAGGAACACUAUGGUGGCAUGCACAUAUUCUUUGGCUAAGGGCUACUGUUCAUGGUGCUAUAGUUAUAAUGCCCAAACCAGGGACCCCAUUUCCUUUCCCUCAGCCUCACAUGGAAGAGGUCGUCAUUUUUGGGGAAUGGUGGAACAAUGAUGUGGAAGAGAUUGUUAAACAAGGGAACAAGCUGGGAUUGCCACCAAAUGCAUCUGAUGCACAUACAAUUAAUGGGAAACCAGGGCCACUCUUCCCAUGUUCUGAGAAAUGUGAGUAAAUUUUCGAUAUAUUGCAAGGGUGUUUGGUUCAGGUUUUGGGAUCAGCUGUUAGCUAUUGAAUCCUAACAGUAGUUUUGAUCAAAUGUGUUCAGUUAGAACCUCCAACAGCUCCCGAUUCCACAAGCUCCAUUUCCUAACAUCAUUAGGAUAACCUUUCGCCCUAUGUAUAUUCCUAUAUGGCACCAUUUUGAACUCAUCAAUGCGUGUCAAUACUAUAUGCUUGCUUUCUCAUUUUCCACCUUUUCUUGCAGAUACAUUUGCCAUGGACGUUGAGCAGGGAAAGACAUACCUCUUGAGGAUCAUCAAUGCUGCACUCAACGAUGAGCUUUUCUUCAGUAUAGCAAACCACACACUCACAGUUGUUGAAGUUGAUGCUAUUUAUGUUAAACCUUUUGAAACUGAGAUUUUGCUGAUUACUCCAGGACAAACCACUAAUGUUCUUCUUAAGACCAAACCCCAAUUCCCUAACGCCACAUUUUUCAUGACUGCUAGACCUUAUGUGACUGGGCUAGGCACUUUUGACAAUUCUACUGUGGCAGGUAUUUUAGAAUAUGAAGCAUCCCCAAAAACAAUCCAUUCAAGCCUUUCUAUUAAAAAGUUUCCACCCUAUAAACCAGCUCUGCCUCCUCUCAAUGACACUGCCUAUGCCACUAACUUCACAAAUAAACUCCGUAGCUUGGCAAGUGCAGAAUUCCCUGCCAAUGUGCCUCAGAAAGUUGAUAGGCAAUUUUUCUUCACAGUAGGCUUAGGGACAAAUCCUUGCCCAAAGAACAAAACCUGCCAGGGACCAAAUGGAACCAUGUUUGCUGCUUCAGUUAAUAAUGUAUCUUUUGCAAUGCCAACCACAGCUCUACUCCAAUCGCACUUUUUUGGUCAAUCAAAGGGUGUUUAUACUCCUGAUUUUCCAAUUAGUCCAAUAAUACCCUUUAACUACACUGGUAACCCACCAAAUAAUACAAUGGUCAACAAUGGCACCAAGCUAGUAGUUCUUCCUUUUAACACUAGUGUGGAGCUAAUUAUGCAGGACACUAGCAUUCUUGGUGCUGAGAGUCACCCUUUGCACUUGCAUGGAUUCAAUUUCUUUGUUGUUGGUCAAGGUUUUGGGAAUUUUGAUCCAAAUAAAGACCCUGCAAAGUUCAAUCUUGUUGAUCCUGUUGAGAGGAACACUGCAGGUGUCCCCUCUGGUGGGUGGGUUGCAAUAAGGUUCCUUGCAGAUAACCCAGGGGUAUGGUUCAUGCAUUGCCAUCUGGAA